UAUAGCACUUAAAGAUGGUGAAGCCGACUGUUUCGAAGGCUAUCGUGAAGAAGCGCACGAAGCGCUUCACCCGACAUCGCUAUGAGCUCUUUCCGCAGCUGAGCUCUAGCUGGCGGAAGCCGCGUGGUGAGGACUCCCCGGUCCGCCGCCGCUACAAAGGCCAAAAGGCGAUGCCGAACAAGGGCUACGGUAGCGACCGUGCCACCAAGUAUAUCACUCCGUCCGGCUUUCGCAGCUUCCCCAUCAAUAACGUGGAGGACCUGUACAUGCUCGUGAUGCAGAACCGCAAGUACGCUGGCGUCAUCUCUCACACUGUCGGUGCACGAAAGCGCAAAGCUAUUGCUCGCAAGGCUAUGGAGCUUGAUGUGCGCCUGGCCAACGGGAACGCGAAGCUGCGCAAGAUCGCUAAUCAGUAGGUGACUAUAAAGUGCUAUUGAAUUUUUUUUUGUUUUCCUUUCACGAAACAAAAAUCUGUGUGUGCGCAUUUUCUUACUCUCCAUUUGGUGCGCACCCUUCUGGGGGUAUGACCUUCAGCACACACAAAGAACGUGUGCUGCGCAUAUGUGUUCAAUGCAUGUGCUUUUCCUCUCUUUGUUUCUAUCAAGGAGGUUCAUAUGAGAGGGCAUGCUCACAGCAGCUUCCCUUAUGUAUAUGUAGCCUUCUGAGUUCAGAUGUGAUACUGCUCCCUUGAUCUCCCUUUUGUGUCUUUGUUCGAAACAACAAUGACGCUCUUACAUUCUCUCUACCUAUUAUCGUUUCUUUCGCAUCUGAAAG
Molecule: unclassified non-coding RNA, 774 nt
Filed under: Leishmania donovani
Lineage: Eukaryota; Euglenozoa; Kinetoplastea; Trypanosomatida; Trypanosomatidae
Description: gene:LdHU3.21.2480(CDS-product:60S_ribosomal_prot ein_L32)
Source: RNAcentral